RNAcentral lists this long non-coding RNA (263 nucleotides) under Elaeis guineensis (African oil palm). RNAcentral's name for it is "long non-coding RNA (EGUI_LNC062558)". Lineage: Eukaryota; Viridiplantae; Streptophyta; Magnoliopsida; Arecales; Arecaceae. The record is from RNAcentral.
GCAAGUAUCCACUCACUAUCCUAAUGAGUAUACCAUAUCCGAUCUCAUACAUGGUGUAUAUGAUAGAACAAAUUCUACUCAUAAACAUCCUAUGUAUGUUGGACUGAAAAACUUAAGCAGCCUCUUAGAUCUAUCUCUAUAGAUCUUCAUCCCUAAGAUGAGGGAUGCUUUUCUCAAGUCCUUUAUGGAGAACAAUAAUAACAGAAAAACCUUUAUUCCCUGUAAUGUAAGGAAUGUCAUUCUCAAUUAAGAAAAUUUCAUUC